CCUACGGGGGGCAGCAGUGGGGAAUAUUGGACAAUGGGGGGAACCCUGAUCCAGCGACGCCGCGUGAGUGAAGAAUUAUUUCGGUAUGUAAAGCUCUAUCAGCAGGGAAGUAAGAUAUUACGCUACCUGACUAAGAAGCCUCGGCUAACUACGUGCCAGCAGCCGCGGUAAUACGUAGGGGGCAAGCGUUAUCCGGAUUUACUGGGUGUAAAGGGAGCGUAGACGGGGAUGCAGGUCUGAUGUGAAAGGAGGGGGCCCAACCCCCAGACUGCUUUGGAAACUGUAUGGCUGGAGUGCAGGAGAGGUGAGUGGAAUUCGUGGUGUAGCGGUGAAAUGCGUAGAUAUUAGGAGGAACACCAGUGGCGAAGGCGGCUUACUGGACUGUAACUGACGUUGAGGCUCGAAAGCGUGGGGAGCAAACAGGAUUAGAUACCCGAGUAGUC
RNAcentral lists this ribosomal RNA (443 nucleotides) under uncultured bacterium. RNAcentral's name for it is "partial 16S ribosomal RNA". It matches the Rfam family "Bacterial small subunit ribosomal RNA", at positions 338 to 795 of the family's 1533-position model. The record is from RNAcentral.